CCUACGGGAGGCUGCAGUAGGGAAUCUUCGGCAAUGGACGAAAGUCUGACCGAGCAACGCCGCGUGAGUGGAGAAGGUUUUCGGAUCGUAAAACUCUGUUGUUAGAGAAGAACGUUAAGUAGAGUGGAAAAUUACUUAAGUGACGGUAUCUAACCAGAAAGGGACGGCUAAAUACGUGCCAGCAGCCGCGGUAAUUCGUAGGUCCCAAGCGGUGUCCGGAUGUAUUGGGCGUAAAUCGAGUGCAGGUGGUUGCUUAAGUCUGGUGUAAAAGGCCAUAGCUCAACCAUUGUGUGCAUUGGAAACUGGUGGACUGGAGUGCAGGAGAGGAGGGUGGAAUUCCAUGUGUAGCGGUGAAAUGCGUAGAUAUAUGGAGGAACACCGGUGGCGAAAGCGGCUCUCUGGCCUGUAACUGACACUGAGGCUCGAAAGCGUGGGGAGCAAACAGGAUUAGAUACCCGGGUAGUC
Molecule: ribosomal RNA, 465 nt
Filed under: uncultured Lactococcus sp.
Lineage: Bacteria; Bacillati; Bacillota; Bacilli; Lactobacillales; Streptococcaceae
Description: bacterial SSU rRNA
Rfam family: Bacterial small subunit ribosomal RNA
Source: RNAcentral